Molecule: long non-coding RNA, 270 nt
Organism: Rhipicephalus microplus (southern cattle tick)
Lineage: Eukaryota; Metazoa; Arthropoda; Arachnida; Ixodida; Ixodidae
Source: RefSeq, a predicted model, not a curated record
AAAAUGUCACAGCCUUCUUCGCCUUCCUGGGCUUCAGGCGCCAGACAUCACACAGUUCUACACACCAAAUACCACUAUCUGGACUUUGCUGACAACACGAAGGAAAAUAACCUGCAAAGUUGAUUACGUGAAUAAUGCAACCAAUACUUCGGUUUUCUUUAAGAGAGAAUAUUGCUUAGGCCAUGAAUGGGUCAAUACAACUUUGCAGGGGAUUUUCAUAACUAUCAGCCUUUUUACUAACGCUACGUAUGAUGCAAUGAGAGUGUCUCC